GUGUCAGCAGCCGCGGUAAAACCAGCACCUCAAGUGGUCAGGAUGAUUAUUGGGCCUAAAGCAUCCGUAGCCUGCUCUGUAAGUUUUCGGUUAAAUCUGUACGCUUAACGUACAGGCUGCCGGAAAUACUGCAGAGCUAGGGAGUGGGAGAGGUAGACGGUACUCGGGAGGAAGUGGUAAAAUGCUUUGAUCUCUCGAUGACCACCUGUGGCGAAGGCGGUCUACCAGAACACGUCCGACGGUGAGGGAUGAAAGCUGGGGGAGCAAACCGGAUUAGAUACCCGGGUAGUCCCAGCUGUAAACUAUGCAAACUCAGUGAUGCAUUGGCUUGUGGCCAAUGCAGUGCUGCAGGGAAGCCGUUAAGUUUGCCGCCUGGGAAGUACGUACGCAAGUAUGAAACUUAAAGGAAUUGGCGGGGGAGCACCACAAGGGGUGAAGCCUGCGGUUCAAUUGGAGUCAACGCCAGAAAUCUUACCCGGAGAGACAGCAGAAUGAAGGUCAAGCUGAAGACUUUACCAGACAAGCUGAGAGGUGGUGCAUGGCCGUCGCCAGCUCGUGCCGUGAGAUGUCCUGUUAAGUCAGGUAACGAGCGAGAUCCCUGCCUCUAGUUGCCACCAUUACUCUCAGGAGUAGUGGGGCGAAUUAGCGGGACCGCCGCAGUUAAUGCGGAGGAAGGAAGGGGCCACGGCAGGUCAGUAUGCCCCGAAACUCUGGGGCCACACGCGGGCUGCAAUGGUAAUGACAAUUGGUUCCGAAUCCGAAAGGAGGAGGUAAUCCUCAAACAUUACCACAGUUAUGACUGAGGGCUGCAACUCGCCCUCACGAAUAUGGAAUCCCUAGUAACUGCGUGUCAUUAUCGCGCGGUGAAUACGUCCCUGCUCCUUGCACACACCGCCCGUC
RNAcentral lists this ribosomal RNA (900 nucleotides) under uncultured archaeon. Its description in RNAcentral is "bacterial SSU rRNA". It matches the Rfam family "Archaeal small subunit ribosomal RNA", at positions 455 to 1354 of the family's 1478-position model. The record is from RNAcentral.